GGCGCCCCAGUAUGUCGGUGAGACCUUUUCUAAUAACAUGUUUCACGACGUUUUGAAUAUGUUUCUUCGCCUAAUAUUUUUAUUAAUUAUAUAAUGCUGAUUUUUAUGCCUCGGGAAAAUUAUCAGCCAUGUUUCAUUGACUCUGCAAAUUCGUCGAUGCGUUUGGACUCGUUUGGACGUGUUGUCGACAUCUCAUGGUUGCUGAAAAUCAUUAUGGUCCUUAUAUCUUAUGAAAGCGUCAAAUUGAGUUAUUUCAGGUUAUCGAUUGGGGAUCCACGCUCUAAAUAGGUGAUAUUGGGUGGGAGUAAUUUUUCGUAUUUUGUUGAGUUAUGAACAAUUUAGAUUUUUAUAAAUUUGAUUGAUCAAUUGUGUUAUUUUUAUCGGUUAUUCAGAGGUAGAAAUUAAUUGUCUCUUAGUUUAGAACUUGCUUUUAUAUCAAAAGUAUUUACUUAAUGAACAUCAACUAUAUUCGAUAUUAAGAAUUUUUUUU
Non-coding RNA from Cicer arietinum (chickpea), 490 nucleotides. Lineage: Eukaryota; Viridiplantae; Streptophyta; Magnoliopsida; Fabales; Fabaceae. The record is from RefSeq and is a predicted model, not a curated record.